ACGUAGGAGACGAGCGUUAUCCGGAUUUACUGGGCGUAAAGCGCGUGCAGGCGGUUUUUUAAGUCACUUGUGAAAGCGCCCGGCUCAACUGGGCGAGGCCGUGCGAGACUGUGGUUCUGGAGGCAGGCAGAGGCAGGUGGAAUUCCGGGUGGAGUGGUGAAACGCGUAGAGAUCCGGAGGAACCCCAGUGGCGAAGGUGACCUGCUCGGCCUUGCCUGACGCUCAGACGCGAAAGCAUGGGGAGCGAACGG
Molecule: ribosomal RNA, 251 nt
Filed under: uncultured prokaryote
Description: partial 16S ribosomal RNA
Rfam family: Bacterial small subunit ribosomal RNA
Source: RNAcentral